Molecule: long non-coding RNA, 421 nt
Filed under: Homo sapiens (human)
Lineage: Eukaryota; Metazoa; Chordata; Mammalia; Primates; Hominidae
Description: HSALNT0376666
Source: RNAcentral
UUCCUAGGACUUUUAAACUUAGUAUACAUCCAUAGGUAAUGGCUGCAAGUGAGAAUCUACUUUUUGAAACAAGUUGAAAAAAAGCAUUUGUCUACAAAAGAACAUCAGAUACUGCACUUUUUACAAAUUGAAUGUUUGUGGCAAGCCUGCAUCGAGAAAGUCCAUUGAUGCCAUUUUUUUCAAACAGAAAAGUAAAGAUGUUUCUGGAAGGCACCAGGAGUCCUGUCUGCACUGAGCACCAUGAAGUUCACCUGCAUUGAGUUCUUUCCCUUUGUACAACACUUACUCCCAGACCAAAAAAUAACUCCUUCUCUCCAAUCUGUGUUCCAGGCAAACCAAUAGACUCCAGUUGUCUCCCGAAAUGCUUAAAGUGCUUUUCCAAUAUCCACUAUGUUUGGGCAACAUAUUAAAAAUAUACAAC